RNAcentral lists this ribosomal RNA (2781 nucleotides) under Staphylococcus aureus. RNAcentral describes it as "partial 23S ribosomal RNA". It matches the Rfam family "Bacterial large subunit ribosomal RNA". The record is from RNAcentral. Lineage: Bacteria; Bacillati; Bacillota; Bacilli; Caryophanales; Staphylococcaceae.
UAAGGGCGCACGGUGGAUGCCUUGGCACUAGAAGCCGAUGAAGGACGUUACUAACGACGAUAUGCUUUGGGGAGCUGUAAGUAAGCUUUGAUCCAGAGAUUUCCGAAUGGGGAAACCCAGCAUGAGUUAUGUCAUGUUAUCGAUAUGUGAAUACAUAGCAUAUCAGAAGGCACACCCGGAGAACUGAAACAUCUUAGUACCCGGAGGAAGAGAAAGAAAAUUCGAUUCCCUUAGUAGCGGCGAGCGAAACGGGAAGAGCCCAAACCAACAAGCUUGCUUGUUGGGGUUGUAGGACACUCUAUACGGAGUUACAAAGGACGACAUUAGACGAAUCAUCUGGAAAGAUGAAUCAAAGAAGGUAAUAAUCCUGUAGUCGAAAAUGUUGUCUCUCUUGAGUGGAUCCUGAGUACGACGGAGCACGUGAAAUUCCGUCGGAAUCUGGGAGGACCAUCUCCUAAGGCUAAAUACUCUCUAGUGACCGAUAGUGAACCAGUACCGUGAGGGAAAGGUGAAAAGCACCCCGGAAGGGGAGUGAAAUAGAACCUGAAACCGUGUGCUUACAAGUAGUCAGAGCCCGUUAAUGGGUGAUGGCGUGCCUUUUGUAGAAUGAACCGGCGAGUUACGAUUUGAUGCAAGGUUAAGCAGUAAAUGUGGAGCCGUAGCGAAAGCGAGUCUGAAUAGGGCGUUUAGUAUUUGGUCGUAGACCCGAAACCAGGUGAUCUACCCUUGGUCAGGUUGAAGUUCAGGUAACACUGAAUGGAGGACCGAACCGACUUACGUUGAAAAGUGAGCGGAUGAACUGAGGGUAGCGGAGAAAUUCCAAUCGAACCUGGAGAUAGCUGGUUCUCUCCGAAAUAGCUUUAGGGCUAGCCUCAAGUGAUGAUUAUUGGAGGUAGAGCACUGUUUGGACGAGGGGCCCCUCUCGGGUUACCGAAUUCAGACAAACUCCGAAUGCCAAUUAAUUUAACUUGGGAGUCAGAACAUGGGUGAUAAGGUCCGUGUUCGAAAGGGAAACAGCCCAGACCACCAGCUAAGGUCCCAAAAUAUAUGUUAAGUGGAAAAGGAUGUGGCGUUGCCCAGACAACUAGGAUGUUGGCUUAGAAGCAGCCAUCAUUUAAAGAGUGCGUAAUAGCUCACUAGUCGAGUGACACUGCGCCGAAAAUGUACCGGGGCUAAACAUAUUACCGAAGCUGUGGAUUGUCCUUUGGACAAUGGUAGGAGAGCGUUCUAAGGGCGUUGAAGCAUGAUCGUAAGGACAUGUGGAGCGCUUAGAAGUGAGAAUGCCGGUGUGAGUAGCGAAAGACGGGUGAGAAUCCCGUCCACCGAUUGACUAAGGUUUCCAGAGGAAGGCUCGUCCGCUCUGGGUUAGUCGGGUCCUAAGCUGAGGCCGACAGGCGUAGGCGAUGGAUAACAGGUUGAUAUUCCUGUACCACCUAUAAUCGUUUUAAUCGAUGGGGGGACGCAGUAGGAUAGGCGAAGCGUGCGAUUGGAUUGCACGUCUAAGCAGUAAGGCUGAGUAUUAGGCAAAUCCGGUACUCAUUAAGGCUGAGCUGUGAUGGGGAGAAGACAUUGUGUCUUCGAGUCGUUGAUUUCACACUGCCGAGAAAAGCCUCUAGAUAGAAAAUAGGUGCCCGUACCGCAAACCGACACAGGUAGUCAAGAUGAGAAUUCUAAGGUGAGCGAGCGAACUCUCGUUAAGGAACUCGGCAAAAUGACCCCGUAACUUCGGGAGAAGGGGUGCUCUUUAGGGUUAACGCCCAGAAGAGCCGCAGUGAAUAGGCCCAAGCGACUGUUUAUCAAAAACACAGGUCUCUGCUAAACCGUAAGGUGAUGUAUAGGGGCUGACGCCUGCCCGGUGCUGGAAGGUUAAGAGGAGUGGUUAGCUUCUGCGAAGCUACGAAUCGAAGCCCCAGUAAACGGCGGCCGUAACUAUAACGGUCCUAAGGUAGCGAAAUUCCUUGUCGGGUAAGUUCCGACCCGCACGAAAGGCGUAACGAUUUGGGCACUGUCUCAACGAGAGACUCGGUGAAAUCAUAGUACCUGUGAAGAUGCAGGUUACCCGCGACAGGACGGAAAGACCCCGUGGAGCUUUACUGUAGCCUGAUAUUGAAAUUCGGCACAGCUUGUACAGGAUAGGUAGGAGCCUUUGAAACGUGAGCGCUAGCUUACGUGGAGGCGCUGGUGGGAUACUACCCUAGCUGUGUUGGCUUUCUAACCCGCACCACUUAUCGUGGUGGGAGACAGUGUCAGGCGGGCAGUUUGACUGGGGCGGUCGCCUCCUAAAAGGUAACGGAGGCGCUCAAAGGUUCCCUCAGAAUGGUUGGAAAUCAUUCAUAGAGUGUAAAGGCAUAAGGGAGCUUGACUGCGAGACCUACAAGUCGAGCAGGGUCGAAAGACGGACUUAGUGAUCCGGUGGUUCCGCAUGGAAGGGCCAUCGCUCAACGGAUAAAAGCUACCCCGGGGAUAACAGGCUUAUCUCCCCCAAGAGUUCACAUCGACGGGGAGGUUUGGCACCUCGAUGUCGGCUCAUCGCAUCCUGGGGCUGUAGUCGGUCCCAAGGGUUGGGCUGUUCGCCCAUUAAAGCGGUACGCGAGCUGGGUUCAGAACGUCGUGAGACAGUUCGGUCCCUAUCCGUCGUGGGCGUAGGAAAUUUGAGAGGAGCUGUCCUUAGUACGAGAGGACCGGGAUGGACAUACCUCUGGUGUACCAGUUGUCGUGCCAACGGCAUAGCUGGGUAGCUAUGUGUGGACGGGAUAAGUGCUGAAAGCAUCUAAGCAUGAA